UACGGAGGGUGCGAGCGUUGUCCGGAAUCAUUGGGCGUAAAGGGCGCGUAGGUGGCCUGCUAAGCGUGCGGUGAAAGUCGGGGCUCAACCCCCGAUCGGCCGUGCGGAACUGGGAGGCUUGAGCACUGUAGAGGCAGGCGGAAUUCCGGGUGUAGCGGUGGAAUGCGUAGAGAUCCGGAAGAACACCGGUGGCGAAGGCGGCCUGCUGGGCAGUUUGCUGACACUGAGGCGCGACAGCGUGGGGAGCAAACAGGG
RNAcentral lists this ribosomal RNA (255 nucleotides) under uncultured bacterium. Its description in RNAcentral is "partial 16S ribosomal RNA". It matches the Rfam family "Bacterial small subunit ribosomal RNA", at positions 524 to 777 of the family's 1533-position model. The record is from RNAcentral.